CUUUUACUCCCUCCGCCCGGAAAUACUUGUCGUAGAAAUGGAUACAAAUGGAUGUAUCCAUAACUAAAAUACAUCUAGAUACAUCCAUUCCUCGGACGAGUAUUUUCGGACGGAGGGGGUACUUC
Molecule: non-coding RNA, 125 nt
Organism: Triticum aestivum (bread wheat)
Lineage: Eukaryota; Viridiplantae; Streptophyta; Magnoliopsida; Poales; Poaceae
Source: Rfam